GUAUCUUUUCACGAUUCUUGAAGUAGUAUUGCGUUUUAUGAUGUAAGUACAGACUACAUGUCUUAUGUUGUGCAGGUGUACACAGAUAACUGGUAAAGUCAGGAAACUUUUCUGGAAGUAUUUCUUUUUGUUGACUGCUAAGAAUUUACACAUUUGUAAUGGAUUAUUAGCAUGAAUUAUGUCAUUGGUUUUCUUACAAGACAUGGACAAUUUUUUCGCCUUGUUUGGGGAACUGUCUUAUCUCAAACCUUUUGGUGCUGUCAAUCUCUGUUUGUUCUCACUGUGUUAAUUCAUCAUUGUUACUGUCUGGUUUUAGACUUGUCUGUUUUGCUGCUUUAGUCUGUUUAAAGGCAUAAGAGUGCGCAAUUUGUUGGACUAGAAAAAUUGGAUAGUAUAUUGGAAGCCCGAUGUAUGUACAAGUUCAAUACUACUUUCCUUGUGACUUGGGUUGUGACUUGGGGCUGUUGUUACAUUUUGGAUAACUUGUCUGUCAGGAACAGUUGCUGAUGAUAUUGCAUUCUUUGUUGUCGUGAUUGUUCAAGUCGUCUCAGAUGAUCAGCUUUUGCUCCUACUCUCUUACUAAAGCAAUAAGCCUUCUGUUGACUGGGGAAUUUUCUGCCUCAUUGCCUCAGAAGAUUUGCAAAUAUCUGCUGCUACGGUUUGUCGCAAUGCUGGACAUUGGCAAAGGAAUCACCAACUAAUGAAUCAUUCGGUGAUGCUAACUCUGUUUCUCAUGUCAUGGAGUAUGCAGUGAAUUUACGGUACUUUAGAUGUAGUUAAACAUUUCAACUGUUUAGCUGUCUUGCUUCUUAUCAGAUUUCUGGUGGUAUCAUUAGUGGUUUGUAUCAUGUACAUGAAUUAAUUAGUUGUUAUUAAAUUAUUCAAUAACUGUUUUCUAUGUUUUCACUACAUCAUUAUGUGUGAUGUAGAUGCUGACCACUCUCUGUGUCCAGUGGAAAAAUAACGACUGCUGUUACACGUACAAGAUGAAGAUCAUCUGUUACAAGUUCAAACAUAACAGCAAAAAAUUGUAUUAAACUUGCACUUCAGGUAGAUUGUUCAUGAUUAUUAACUCAUAUGGAAUAUUUAUAAUAGUGAAAAAUA
This is a long non-coding RNA of Corticium candelabrum, 1104 nucleotides long. RefSeq lists it as uncharacterized. NCBI's taxonomy places the organism in Eukaryota, Metazoa, Porifera, Homoscleromorpha, Homosclerophorida, Plakinidae. The transcript has 5 exons. The record is from RefSeq and is a predicted model, not a curated record.